Molecule: long non-coding RNA, 291 nt
Organism: Canis lupus familiaris (dog)
Lineage: Eukaryota; Metazoa; Chordata; Mammalia; Carnivora; Canidae
Exons: 3
Source: RefSeq, a predicted model, not a curated record
GUCCAGAGAGUUGGAAGCAACACAAGCAAAUCUGUAGUGUCAAAAAAAGUAGAAAAUGGUAUUUCAGGAAGGAGCAGGAAUAUCAAAUAUCCUUUUAAGCAAUUUAACAGUAGCAGUAUAUUGCUAAGAGUAGGGGCAUCAGAAAGGGUCUUCACGAAAGCCAGUUAGUCAUCAGGAAGAGUGGAGUUUUUAAAAGAUGUAUCUAAUGAAUGCUGAUUCUUCGCAAAGAAAGAACUUCUCAUUCAGGGCAGCCCGGGUGGCUCAGCUGUUUAGCACUGCCUUCGGCCCAGG